UGAUAUUUCAUUACUUGUCCAGUGGUGCCUAUUUUAGAUGUAAUUAGAGUUCGCACAGGUCAGCGAGGAGAGGAGGCGGAGAAGAUGGCUGGUGGGCAUUCUGAUAUGAUCUCUACCAUCCCAAGUAAUUGAGAUGCGACUUUAGAUUUGUAUGCCCAGCAUCUUGCCUAUUUCUAAUUCUUGACUAUAAAUUGUAUAUUUAACUCUUGAAAUGGAAUUGCAUUCUAUCUCC
This is a long non-coding RNA of Telopea speciosissima, 232 nucleotides long. RefSeq lists it as uncharacterized. The transcript is spliced from 2 exons. Lineage: Eukaryota; Viridiplantae; Streptophyta; Magnoliopsida; Proteales; Proteaceae. The record is from RefSeq and is a predicted model, not a curated record.